This 484-nucleotide ribosomal RNA is filed under the name uncultured bacterium. RNAcentral describes it as "partial 16S ribosomal RNA". It matches the Rfam family "Bacterial small subunit ribosomal RNA", at positions 30 to 507 of the family's 1533-position model. The record is from RNAcentral.
AUUGAACGCUGGCGGCAGGCCUAACACAUGCAAGUCGAGCGGAUGAAGGGAGCUUGCUCCUGGAUUCAGCGGCGGACGGGUGAGUAAUGCCUAGGAAUCUGCCUGGUAGUGGGGGAUAACGUCCGGAAACGGGCGCUAAUAUCGCAUCCGUCCUGAGGGAGAAAGUGGGGGAUCUUCGGACCUCACGCUAUCAGAUGAGCCUAGGUCGGAUUAGCUAGUUGGUGGGGUAAAGGCCUACCAAGGCGACGAUCCGUAACUGGUCUGAGAGGAUGAUCAGUCACACUGGAACUGAGACACGGUCCAGACUCCUACGGGAGGCAGCAGUGGGGAAUAUUGGACAAUGGGCGGAAGCCUGAUCCAGCCAUGCCGCGUGUGUGAAGAAGGUCUUCGGAUUGUAAAGCACUUUAAGUUGGGAGGAAGGGCAGUAAGUUAAUACCUUGCUAUUCUGACGGUACCAACAGAAUAAGCACCGGCUAACUUCGUG